RNAcentral lists this ribosomal RNA (427 nucleotides) under uncultured Lysobacteraceae bacterium. Its description in RNAcentral is "bacterial SSU rRNA". It matches the Rfam family "Bacterial small subunit ribosomal RNA", at positions 355 to 774 of the family's 1533-position model. Lineage: Bacteria; Pseudomonadati; Pseudomonadota; Gammaproteobacteria; Lysobacterales; Lysobacteraceae. The record is from RNAcentral.
UGGGGAAUAUUGGACAAUGGGCGCAAGCCUGAUCCAGCCAUACCGCGUGAGUGAAGAAGGCCCUCGGGUUGUAAAGCUCUUUUGUUGGGAAAGAAAUCCUGUUGGCUAAUACCCGGCAGGGAUGACGGUACCCAAAGAAUAAGCACCGGCUAACUUCGUGCCAGCAGCCGCGGUAAUACGAAGGGUGCAAGCGUUACUCGGAAUUACUGGGCGUAAAGCGUGCGUAGGUGGUGGUUUAAGUCUGUUGUGAAAGCCCUGGGCUCAACCUGGGAAUUGCAGUGGAUACUGGAUCACUAGAGUGUGGUAGAGGGUGGCGGAAUUCCCGGUGUAGCAGUGAAAUGCGUAGAGAUCGGGAGGAACACCCGUGGCGAAGGCGGCCACCUGGGCCAACACUGACACUGAGGCACGAAAGCGUGGGGAGCAAACA